RNAcentral lists this non-coding RNA (28 nucleotides) under Cricetulus griseus (Chinese hamster). Lineage: Eukaryota; Metazoa; Chordata; Mammalia; Rodentia; Cricetidae. The record is from RNAcentral.
AGAACUCUUUCGCUCACAUUUCGUAAGU